CAGUAGCCGCGGGAAUACGAAGGGGGCUAGCGUUGUUCGGAUUUACUGGGCGUAAAGGGCGCGUAGGCGGACUGAUAAGUCAGGGGUGAAAUCCCAAGGCUCAACCUUGGAACUGCCUUUGAUACUGUUUGUCUUGAGUUCGAGAGAGGUAAGUGGAACUGCGAGUGUAGAGGUGAAAUUCGUAGAUAUUCGCAAGAACACCAGUGGCGAAGGCGGCUUACUGGCUCGAAACUGACGCUGAGGCGCGAAAGCGUGGGGAGCAAACAGGAUUAGAUACCCCGUAGUCCCUGUCUCUUAUACA
RNAcentral lists this ribosomal RNA (301 nucleotides) under uncultured bacterium. RNAcentral's name for it is "partial 16S ribosomal RNA". It matches the Rfam family "Bacterial small subunit ribosomal RNA", at positions 509 to 808 of the family's 1533-position model. The record is from RNAcentral.